UCCCAGACUCCUACGGGAGGCAGCAGUGGGGAAUAUUGGGCAAUGGGCGCAAGCCUGACCCAGCAACGCCGCGUGAAGGAAGAAGGCUUUCGGGUUGUAAACUUCUUUUAUUCGGGGCGAAGCAAGUGACGGUACCGAAUGAAUAAGCCACGGCUAACUACGUGCCAGCAGCCGCGGUAAUACGUAGGUGGCGAGCGUUAUCCGGAUUUACUGGGUGUAAAGGGCGUGUAGGCGGGACUGCAAGUCAGAUGUGAAAACCACGGGCUCAACCUGUGGCCUGCAUUUGAAACUGUAGUUCUUGAGUACUGGAGAGGCAGACGGAAUUCCUAGUGUAGCGGUGAAAUGCGUAGAUAUUAGGAGGAACACCAGUGGCGAAGGCGGUCUGCUGGACAGCAACUGACGCUGAGGCGCGAAAGCGUGGGGAGCAAACAGGAUUAGUACCCGGUAA
RNAcentral lists this ribosomal RNA (448 nucleotides) under uncultured bacterium. RNAcentral's name for it is "bacterial SSU rRNA". It matches the Rfam family "Bacterial small subunit ribosomal RNA", at positions 329 to 792 of the family's 1533-position model. The record is from RNAcentral.